This 527-nucleotide unclassified non-coding RNA is filed under the name Lingula anatina. RNAcentral's name for it is "alpha-2B adrenergic receptor-like, transcript variant X1". The record is from RNAcentral. Lineage: Eukaryota; Metazoa; Brachiopoda; Lingulata; Lingulida; Lingulidae.
UUGUCAAAGGGCAACAGGACAAACUUCCAAGAACGCAGACUGGUAUUGGACUGUUGAAAGAUCUCUCAAGAAUUCAUGGAGAAUUUUCCAGGUGGUGCUGUAAAUUCAUGGAAAUCUUGGCUGGAAUGGUGACUGCAGGCAAUUCUAGCAGUUCAGCUGCACAGAAUCUCUCUGGGGGUAUGGUCUAGUGCACAUUACGCCAAAUGAAUUAAAAACAACAAGAUAGUACUGUGAUGACACAAUCCUAUAUUUAUCAGUCUGCCGUGGAGAAGUACUUUGGAGCAAAGAAUUGCACUUCUCAACAUUAUUCUGGAUAAUGAGUCAUUACAGCAAGAGAAUAACUUGAAAUAAGUGAACAAAAAGAAAAAAAAUCUUGGAUCAGAUCUGGUGGAUUUUCAGCACUUGACCAGCAGAGUAUAUCAGAAUGAAUGCAGAAAAAUAGGUAAGCUGCAUGGUGGAUACUAGGUAUGGCGUUCACCAGACAAUCUUAAUUUACAACUGAAAAUCAUACUUCUUUUAGAAUGGGC